GACGAACGCUGGCGGCGUGCUUAACACAUGCAAGUCGAACGGUAAGGCCCUUCGGGGUACGACGAGUGGCGAACGGGUGGAGUAACACGUGGGUGGAUCUGCCCUGCACUUCGGGAUAAGCCUGGGAAACUGGGUCUAAUACCGGAUAGGACCAUGGACUUCACGGUUUGUGGUGGAAAGCUUUGCGGUGUGGGAUGGGCCCGCGGCCUAUCAGCUUGUUGGUGGGGUAAUGGCCUACCAAGGCGACGACGGGUAGCCGGCCUGAGAGGGUGUCCGGCCACACUGGGACUGAGAUACGGCCCAGACUCCUACGGGAGGCAGCAGUGGGGAAUAUUGCACAAUGGGCGCAAGCCUGAUGCAGCGACGCCGCGUGAGGGAUGACGGCCUUC
Molecule: ribosomal RNA, 389 nt
Filed under: uncultured bacterium
Lineage: Bacteria
Description: bacterial SSU rRNA
Rfam family: Bacterial small subunit ribosomal RNA
Source: RNAcentral